UACGGAGGGUGCAAGCGUUAAUCGGAAUUACUGGGCGUAAAGCGCACGCAGGUGGCUGAGUCAGUCGAUUGUGAAAGCCCUGGGCUUAACCUAGGAAUUGCAGUCGAUACUACUCAGCUAGAGUAUGGGAGAGGGCAGUGGAAUUCCCGGUGUAGCGGUGAAAUGCGUAGAUAUCGGGAAGAACACCAGUGGCGAAAGCGGCUCUCUGGGGACCACCUGACGCUGAGGCGCGAAAGCGUGGGGAGCGAACCGG
Molecule: ribosomal RNA, 253 nt
Filed under: uncultured bacterium
Lineage: Bacteria
Description: partial 16S ribosomal RNA
Rfam family: Bacterial small subunit ribosomal RNA
Source: RNAcentral